AUUGAACGCUGGCGGCAUGCCUUACACAUGCAAGUCGAACGGCAGCACGGGUGCUUGCACCUGGUGGCGAGUGGCGAACGGGUGAGUAAUACAUCGGAACAUGUCCUGUAGUGGGGGAUAGCCCGGCGAAAGCCGGAUUAAUACCGCAUACGAUCUACGGAUGACAGCGGGGGACCUUCGGGCCUCGCGCUAUAGGGUUGGCCGAUGGCUGAUUAGCUAGUUGGUGGGGUAAAGGCCUACCAAGGCGACGAUCAGUAGCUGGUCUGAGAGGACGACCAGCCACACUGGGACUGAGACACGGCCCAGACUCCUACGGGAGGCAGCAGUGGGGAAUUUUGGACAAUGGGCGAAAGCCUGAUCCAGCAAUGCCGCGUGUGUGAAGAAGGCCUUCGGAUUGUAAAGCACUUUUGUCCGGAAAGAAAUCCUUGGCUCUAAUACAGUCGGGGGAUGACGGUACCGGAAGAAUAAGCACCGGCUAACUACGUG
This 486-nucleotide ribosomal RNA is filed under the name uncultured bacterium. RNAcentral's name for it is "partial 16S ribosomal RNA". It matches the Rfam family "Bacterial small subunit ribosomal RNA", at positions 30 to 507 of the family's 1533-position model. The record is from RNAcentral.